RNAcentral lists this ribosomal RNA (253 nucleotides) under uncultured bacterium. RNAcentral's name for it is "partial 16S ribosomal RNA". It matches the Rfam family "Bacterial small subunit ribosomal RNA", at positions 524 to 776 of the family's 1533-position model. The record is from RNAcentral.
UACGAAGGGUGCGAGCGUUACUCGGAAUUACUGGGCGUAAAGCGUGCGUAGGGGGUGAGUUAAGUCUGUCGUGAAAGCCCCGGGCUCAACCUGGGAAUGGCGAUGGAUACUGGCUCGCUAGAGUGCGGUAGAGGAGAGUGGAAUUCCCGGUGUAGCAGUGAAAUGCGUAGAGAUCGGGAGGAACAUCAGUUGCGAAGGCGGCUCUCUGGACCAGCACUGACACUGAGGCACGAAAGCGUGGGGAGCAAACAGG